GCUGGGGUCUCCAGGUGGGUCUGCAGGUUGCAGAUGACUAUGGUGGGCGGGCGGCGGGGCGGAGUGGCGACCGACGGGUCCGCCGGGUGCGGGGAGCAUGGCGGGACGGCGGGAAAGUAGACCGGGUUCCGGGUGGGGCUGGGGCGCCGGCCCUGUAGGUGUUUGCUGAGCGCUGCCGUGUGCCCGACACAGUGCCAGGCCCACGGGCUGCAAGACACGGCCUUGGCCUCAGGAUAAAACUCUUUUUCUAUUAACAAAGAAGUUUCCAGCCCAUGAGGUGAACCGAGAGUGAUCCCCCAGGCAAGAAAACCAGGGCCUUGUCAAUUAUACCCCCUCUACAACCUGACCUUUUCAAACGCUACCCUUUUUUUUUCAUCCUUUGAAGUCAGGGGUGCCUUAUGAGAAAUUUGGUUCUGUGGCAAUCCAGUAGGACGUCCCCUUUUGUAGCUUGCUUUCUGCCUGGGUGGCCACAGGCACCCGCUGUAUUAUAGAAGUCCGUGCUUCCCAAGGUGAGGGGUGGCAGAUUCCUAAGAAAUCUGAAGCUGUGGGAGUUUUUUUUUUUUUUUUCUUCUGUCCCCAAAUCGGCACUAGAGGUGCUCAUAUAUGGGUUCAGUUAUGUAUUUUUUUUUUAUAGCCUGACUUUUUAAAUCCAGAGUUAGCAAGACUCAUUAAAAAGAAGUCGUAUAUAUUUGAAGCUACACAGGAUUAAAACUAUGCAAACUGUAUGCUUAUGGAAAAUGAAAACAAAAAUAAGAACAAAAACCUCACCUUAUUUUGUAUCACCUUAUUUUAUAACCUGUACGUAGAGGCCUGCCUGACCUCCCAUGAUAUUUCCAGUUGUAUUACACAUUUAUUUGUAGGUAGCUAAGUCUUUUGUCUAUUUCUUUCAAAACACUUCGUACUUCCCACAGUUAUUUUAUUUGCUUUUUAAUUUUUUCCUACUCUUUUCACCAGACUACAAGUUCAGUGAGGAUUGGUACUAUACCUGUUUGGCUCACCUUGUUUUUCAGAGCUUAAUCUGAUACCUGGCACAGAAGAGGUGUUCCUAUAUUUGUUGAAUGUUCACCAGAGUCUGGUAGGAUACAUGGAAAAAAGAAAACAAAAAGAUUUUGAAGUGGGAAAGAGGGUGUUUGUUUAAUUUUUUUUUCAUAAGAUUGUGCAAUAAAUUCAAAGCAGUAGGAAAAAGCUAAAUAUUUAAAAGUUAGCAUAUUAUUAUUGGCAGUAUGUUGUAUGUAGGCACUCUUCUAAUUGCUGGGGAUUCAAAGAUCAGUGGCAGGACUGCCCUCAAAUAUUUGGGAUGCUCACGGAAACCACACCUAUAAAAGCAAAGCCGAAAAAAUAGCACAAGGAAGCAUAUAAUAGCAAAUGAGUGUAAUACGCAUGAUGUUCUUACAGAAAGAGAAGUUUACUUUUGAUGGAAGAAAUCUGCAUCGUAGAGGUGGCCUUCCAACCUGGCAAUGAAUGGAAUAAAACUUGGUGAGCAGAAAAGUGGAAAAUAAAGCAUAAUGCUUAGGAAAAUUAGAAUGCAUAAUUGAAGCUCUCAAGUACCAAACAGAGCAGAUGAGUAAUUUUUUUUUUUCCUUCUGGGUAAGGGGAAAAGUUUUAGAGAAGAAAUUUAUAACCUUGUAUUACAUAGAGGCAAUUUGAAACCCAAAAGGUUUUCACCGGUGUUUAAAAACAUUACUGUAAAAUUUAGAAGGUAAUCUGAUGCCAAACAGUUCUUUCUCUACAUUUCCUUUUAAUGACAGGUUAAGAAUAUGAAAGGGAGAAGAAUAUGAAUGAUAUGAAUUCAUCAUUUUAAGGAUGUAGAACAAUUUAGAUUUCAAGUCUUAAGAGCUAACAGGACUGGGAAUAAAAUUGUACUUUCUGGCUUUGUCACCAAUCUUUCCUUAAUUUUCCCAUUUCUAAGAUAUUCAGAAGAGACCACUUAGGAUAAUAGUGGAUUGUAUGAGAAUGGGUAGGAUAGAUAAAUAUAAAAGAGCUUAAGGUUCUGAAUUUAAUUUAUGAAUUAAAUACUUUCAUUGCUAUUUGUAAUCAUAUGAAGUUUUCAGUUGAUAAUAAUUGUGUAUUGAUUUACGUUGUGCCUUGAAAACAUUUUUUAAGCUAUUGAGGAGUUUCUUUAUAUUAAAUCUGACUCAGAGGCUCCUUAUGAAAACCGAUGAAGUCAGAGAAGCUGUGGUUUGAGAAAAACCUUGAUGUUCCCUCAUUCCCUUCUCAGGGUAGUUUCUAACGCUGCCCCUUCUCUGAACCCGGAGCUCUCUGGUGGCCCUUAAGGAGCCCGCUGAUUUACAGACCAUAAAUUAGAGUCCUUUUGUUUGAUAUCCUGCAAAUUGGGUGGGGGUGGAAUUCUUAUCAUUUAAUACAUGGAUAAACAGGCUCAGAGACCACUCUAACGCAAAGGUCCUCUGAACUUAAACCUAGCAUCUUUUAACAUUACUUAUCAUUUUUAGUUGACAACUAUUUUAAAAAGAUACCUUGCCCCUUGAGAGUGAAAGCAAACUUUCUUAAUUGCUCUCAAUGGAACCUUCACGUAUAAGGUAAAAAAAAAAAAAAAAUGGGUGCCAUGGGCACUAUUUAAUACCCUGAAGCAGCGUUUAUCAGCUGUGUUGGUUGGCUGAAAGGUUAAGUGCAGCUGAGAAGUCAGCACCUGAUUUACUUUCAUGGCCUGUGCUAGUAGAAAAUGGCAUAUAUUUAUUUAGUGGGCCACUAAAGCACAGGACACUAUGCCAGGGAUCAUGUAUUAUCAGUCUUUUCCUUAGAUUUUUAAAAAUAUUUAAAUAUAUAUAUAUUUAGAAUAAGGAUACAAUUCUUUUUAAGAAUUUAAAACUACCAUUUUUAUUGAAAUUCAUUUUUAUUUAAUAUUUCUUGCUUGGGUAUCUGAUUUCUAAGUGCUAUGGCAAACAUAUUAGUCCAUCCAAGAGAGUUGGCUUUUGGACCUUAAAAUAUGUGUCGAAGUAAGGAAAAAUUCUUAUUUAUUGGCUUUUGAAUUUUCAAGUCUAAGAUGAUUUCAGGUCAUUAGACUAAUCAGCUAAUCUUAGAUAAGUUUUCAGUUACAAAAACUGUCCUAUCUUGAAAACAGUGGUUUCCCAAACCUCCCAUUCUGCCAGUGGUGUCAUGGCAAAUUCUAGAAGACUAUGGCAACUCUUGAUAAAUACUCUGAGUUUCUAGGAGUAUAAAUCAUCAUAAUUUCCUUGUUUCCAUUCUGUGGUAGCCGGCCUUGAUGCUUGAGUUGCAUUCCCAGGAUGAGAACUUAUGUAGAAGGAGAAUCAAACCAUCAUGGACAAUAUUGGGUCAUAGUAUCUGUACACAUGUGGGGAGAAACAGGUUGGGGACAGAAAAGUGAUGCAGUCUAAUAAGUCAGUUAACAAGAACAUUUUCCAAAUAACUAUUAAACCUUUGGUAUUUAAUUAUCAGAAAAAAAAAAUUGAGUCACCUAAGGACAAGUGGAACUACAAAGUUUGCAUAAUAGGGAGUUUAUCUCUAUUUCCCUGAUUCCAUUAAAUGACUAAAGUUUUGUGCUUUGCUAUUCUUCCUGCUGACAUUAUUAUCUCCUUGCUGUCCCAAGAAAGGUGACUAAUUCUCUGUUGGUUUUACGAAAGGAAACAGGCGGAACAGCAUGACUCACAAUUAUAAUCUUGCUUUUCUCUUCAUACGAGAAAAUUGGCUUAUGUGUGUGACUUAAUAAAACAUUUAACUGAGAGGGAGCCUUACUAAUUGCAUUCAAUGAAGUGAAAUGCCCCCAAAUAAGACCAUUUAUUGGUUAAAUCACAUUAUCAGCAGAGCUAUAAAUCUGAAUCAUCUCAUCCUAAUGAAAUUUACAGACUUUUUUUAUUCACUUCAGUCUUCAUGUGUACGUUCAGCUUUAUGCAUACGUACAUAUACAGCUGACCAUUGAACGAUGUGGGGGAUUAGGCGCACCAGCACCCCACACAGUUAAAAACCCACGUAUAAUUUUUGACUUUAUUUUUUGAUAAUGGUGGCAAUGAUAACAGUAUGAAAGUCUUCUUGAAAAAUUUAUCACAGUAGACUUAGGGUCCAGCAGUUGGAUUUCCAAAUAAUGAUCAAAAAGAGAUAGAGACUCUUUUUGAGUAGGAUUAUUCCUGAAGUCUUUUUUAAGUGAGACAAAGUUUUUACCUACAAGGAAGGGGUAGAAGAUGAUGUAUCCUCCCUCCGCAAAAGCAAACCAAAUCUUAGUUUUCCAGGGGUUAUCUUUAGUUUUCUUUGACAUUCAUUUUAGCUUUGAGAGAGAGGACUUGGUACUUAAGAAACGAGUCCAAGUUAAAUGUCCCUCCUAAGUAUUUCCUUCUGUUGGAAUGUUCCAUGGUAUUGUCAUCGUGUGGCUUUCCCUUUGAUUUUGAGUUCUUUGAGGGAAAACACUGUAUCUUAUUUACUAUUGUGAUAUCAGUACCCAUAAACAGGUCAGGAAGGAGUAGCUACAUAAAUGUUUACCGGGGGUGCCUGGGUGGCUCAGUUGGUUGAACAUCCAACUUCAGCUCAGGUCAUGAUCUCGCGUUUUUGGGAGUUUGAGCCCCGUGUCUGGCUCUGUGCUGACAGCUCAGAGCCUGGAGCCUGCUUUGGAUUCUGUGUCUCCUUCUCUCUCUGCCCCUCCCCAGCUCUCUUUCUCUCUCUCUCUCAAAAGUGAAUACUUAAAAAAAAAUUAAAAAAAAAAACAACACAAGUGUUUAUUGAAGGCACAAAUACACUUAGUCUUAUGAUGCAUCUACUACUUUUCUUACAAUAUAAAAUUAUUUUGUAUAAUUCUAUUUGAAAUUAUUUUCAGAAAUAAAUUCCUUCAGAAUUUUCUCCAAGGUAGUAAAAAUCUACCCUUUCAGGGUAGAUUUGAUUUUUUGGAGGUAGAAUAACUUGAAACUAGAUUUGAAUGAAUAAAGUAUUCACUCCUGCCAAACAAUAUAUAUUUUUUUAAUUUUUUAUUUUUUUAAAUUUACAUCCAAAUUAGUUAGCAUAUAGUGCUAUAAUUUUUAGUUUUAAAUGAGCCACAACAAAGUAGAUUUAUAUGUUUGUUGGGUAUAUGACAGACUUUGCAGGAGGUUUCAAAGAGGUAUUCCAAAAAUGUCUUGAUCAAUGGUUGCAUCAUUGAAAUUAUGAUAUGGUGUCCCAAAGAAACAAAACUGAAGAAUUGCACAUUUGAUUAUAUAGACUUCCAUGUGACAAUAACCUUCCACUUGGUUACUCCUAUUCUGAUGCCUUCUCUCCUUAAGUUUUCGAGCAAAGCUUCUAGACUUAUUUUCUGGUCUCCCUCUAAAACUUUCAGUGCCUCUUAUUAGCUACAUAUUGAAUUCCAAAUGCCUUAACUUGGCAUUUAAAGCCACUCAUUAUUGAGCUGCAGCCUAAAUGUCCAAAUUUAUGCCUACUUUUCCCCUUCCAUGUAACCCGAAUAUCAACCAAAUGGAGCCAGUCAUUAGUCCCCAUUCAAGAGCUGUUCUUUCUCAUAGUAUGAAGUGUUCAUCCAGUCCAUAUCUUUUUAUAUAAGCCCCCAUUCUCCUCAAAAUGCCACUUUAAAUGCUAGCCAGCUUGAAUUCUCUCUCUCUCCUUAUAUUAUCACAUCUGUAAGUUUUAUGGACUUUAUAAUUUCUACCCUAUUUUGUGGCUUUUAUAUGUUGGUCUUAUAUGCCCUUUUUGACUCUAUGCCAUUUGAGCCAGUCAACAGAUCUCCUUGGGCCUUGACUCCAUGCCUCUUAACACAGUGCCUUGCAUAUAGCAGAGCUUAGGAAAUAUUUAUAGGGGUUUUAAGUACAUAGGAAACACAUAUAAAAACCAGCAGUAUCAAAUGGUUUGUCCAUUUAAGACUAUGGACUCUAUGGCAAUGGCCCUUAUAUUUCUUUAAGGGCGUUCAGAAUUUGGAAAUUUUUAUUCGUAUAAAAACCUAAUGGUUGUGCAUGUGAUUCAGUAAUUCAGCAUUACAGACUAAAUUAUUAUAGAACCAUGAAUAAUUGGGAUACUCAGGAAAUAGGGUGUUCUGAAUAAUUUAAUUUUCUGGUUAACUUGGAGUUAGGCAGAAAAUCUUCUUUGUUUCAUUUCUUGUUGAAAAAUUCUUUCUAAAUAUGCUAAUUUCUGAUCUUAGGCAAAGAGCAUCAUUAAAAUUUUCUUUGAUGAAUGAGGAUAUUAGAAUGCCUCUGGGUAAUUAUUACAUACCUUAAUUCUCAUUUUAUAUUACCACAUAUGAACAAAAAAAGGUUUUGAGUUUGGAUUGUAUCUCUAAGGUUCUUUUCUUUUUCCUAUAUUUAGCCUUGGAUAUUAUUUUUGGAUGAAAACAAAACCUGAUUUAUAUUUUUAUACUCUUCACCAUAGAAAGAGACAGAGUAUGUACUUGUCUUAAUGAGUACAUUCUUCACUUUCCUUUUUAAUUUUUUUAUUUUUUACAUUUAUUUAUUUUUGAGAGACAGAGCAUGAGUGGGGGAGGGGCAGAGAGAGAAGGAGACACAGAACUGAAGCAGGCUUCUGGCUCCGAGCAAGUAGCAAGCAUUCAGCAGAGCCCAACAUGGGGCUUGAACCCACGAACCAUGGGAUCAUGAACUGAGCCGAAGUCGGACACUUAACCGACUGAGCCACCCAGGCACCCCACAUUCUUCACUUUCAAUCGACUAUUUCCACAGUCUUUUGCUAUAUAAUCAUUGGUAAAAUUGUAAUUACAUCAUAUAUGCUAUAUUUAUAACUUCAUUAGUAUAUCAAUAUUUGUCAAACAUAUAUUUAGCAUAUGUGUAUUUAUUGUUUAGCCUUUGAUUUAACUUUUUCCCUUCAUAACAAUUUCUGUUUUUAAAACCUGUCUGAAUUGUAUGUAGUUUUGAAUUUGUAAUUUAACUGCUUUACUCUGACAUUAUUCUUUUGUCUGCUACUUUUUCAGACGUUUUUGCAAAUCACAAUAAUUUUUAGAUAAUAUCAAGACAGUGGGGGAAAAAAAAAGGCAGUAAUCAUGAACACCAAAGAUUUUGUAGUUCUUCCAUGGGGGAAACCUGGAAAUUCUGUAAAACUAAAAUACAAGUAAGUGUAUAUAUAUUUAUUACUUAAAUAAAAAUAAUUGCUAACAUAUCUGUAAUUUAAAGUAUUUUUUUAUAUGAGGCUGUGUAGAGUUGAACUUAAAUUUUUGAGUUCUUUCCUCCAUUUUCUUUACAUCGGUGCAUUUUUAUAAGAGUGUAGGUUUGAAAUAUUUUAAAUCCCUAAUAGUUUAAAAAAUGAGGACUAAAAUUAUUUCUGCCACAAUAUCAAAAUGAAAAGUGAUAAAUGAAGUUUGGGUUUAUUGACUAUUGAAGCAGUCGAACAGAAAGUUACAAAUAGUUUUGUGACACUUAUUCAGAAUUAAAAAGAAUCACCCUAAAGAAACUGAAAGACCCUGAAAUUUACGGAGACUGUUGGGCUGAGAGACCUUUAAAUAGAGAAUAGAGGGUACUAACUAUCCCUGCACUUCACCUAUUAAGGGACAGUAUGUUGAAUUCAUCUUUGUCUUGGAAGGAUACCAUCUGUCUUGGAUUGCCUUGUGAACGCAUUCAGCUAGAACCAGGCAAUUCUGGUAUCUUGAGAAUUUUAUGACAUGGCAGGGGUAUGGGAAGUUUCAAUAUACUGCUUCCCUUUGAGAUCAUCUAGUGUCACUAGAAAUUCCCAAGGCCUUCCUCUCAGAAAUCAGUAAGGGUCAGUCAGUCUGGGUUGGGGACAGACUGUCAAUUAAAAUUUUUUUUAAUGUUUUUAUUUUUGAGAGAGAGAGAGAGAGAGAGAGAGCAAGAUGCGGUGGGGGGAGGGACAGAGAGAGAGGGAGACACAGAAUAUGAAGCAGGUUCCAGGCUCGAAGCUGUCGGCACAGAGCCUGACGCGGGGCUCAAACUCACGGAUGGUGGGAUCAUGACCUGAACUGAAGUCGGACACUCAACCAACUGAGUCACCCAAGUGCCCCCAGACUGUCAAUUUUUAAUCUGUUUUGAGUUCCCUGAAUCAGAUCAACAGUCCUGUGGUUAUUCAGUGUCUUCACACUUUCCUAAUUCUUCCUUCACUUUUGAGAUAAUUGUGUGUAAGAGCAUGUGUAAGCUGGAAAAUGUUAUACAAAUAUAUGGCAAUCUCAGUACAGUUCACCCUUGAACAACAACAAGGAUUGGGGACAUUAACCCCCUAGCACAGUCAAAAAUCCAGAACUUUUGACACCCUCAAAACUUAACAACCAAUAGCCUACUCUUGACUAGAGACCUUAUGGGUAGUAUAAAUAGUCAAUUAAUGCAUAUUUUGUAUGUUAUAUAAUGUAUUCUUACAAAAAAGUAAGCUAAAGAAAAUGUUAUUAAGAAAUUCAUAAAGAAGGGAAAAGACAAUACCGUACUGUAUUUAUCAAAAACAAUUGUGUGUAAGUGGACCCAUGCAGUUCAAACUCCUAUUGUUCAGUAUCAUCUGUAUUAUUUUUACCAUUUUUUGGUGGGAGGGAGAGCAAUCCCAUUGCUACUAUUACCAAUUUUCCUUUUUUUGUGUAAAAAGAAAAGGGGACGUACAUAAUUUGAUUAUAUGAUCAUAUGUUUCAAGUCUGUGUUUAUAUACUUAUAAACCAUUCAUCCAACAAACAUUAAUUGCAUGUAUUCUACACACUGUGAUAGGGAAUGGUGGACAUAAAAGUAAGAAGACACAACCUUUGCUCUCAGGUAGCUUGUGGAGGAUGUGAAUAGAUAGAAUCACAUUUACAGUAUAUUGUGAAGCAUGGUAUGAUGAGAAAGCAUAAACUGCUGGGGCAGGGGUGAGGAGGUCACCAAGCUUUGCCUGAAAGAUGCAGUUAUUUGGGUAGUUACUGGGGAAAACUUGUGCAAAGGCACAGAGGCCACAUACUUUGGGAACUUUCAGACACAUGCAGCAAUUUAUGGGACAGAGAACAGAGUUGGAGAGAAGGGAAGGAUUGUAUAGAUAGUAAAUUAACCUCUAUGCCACACUAAGGAGUUUGGAAUUUAUUUUGGAAGGGAGGGGGAAUCACUGUUUCAUGGCCUUUAGGUCUCUGAUCCACCCAUGAUCAGCAACCUACAAAAGCUAGGACAGGAACACCCACUCUAUGUUAAUAUCUUUGGAGUUCCCUUUCUUACCCUUUCCUUAUUCCAAGCCUCUGCUCAUUUGAUACUAUCUUAAUGAUUAUCUUGACCUUGUCUGACAUUUUGGUGUUCUCCAACAUUUGUCUUCCUCUUUCCCAGCCCUCAGCUCAUUUCAGUAGGUUAUUUCUGGCCCUUGCAUUUGUUGGGUUGACCUGGUUUCUGCAGGAUCAACCUUAGUUUUCCUCAGUGGCCUUACCUGCACCACAUGCCCCCCCCCCCCCCGCUCCACCCCACUCUGUGUCUGAAGCUGUUUCCAGGAGGAACGCAUGUCUUAUUUCAGACCCAUAGCAUCCCAUCAACUUGAACACUUGGUCAGUAAGCUGGCUUUUUCUUUUUUUUUCCAGUCUCAUUCCUUUCCUCUACCACAGUGGGGACUUCAAAAACAUUAAAAGUUUUCUAAGCAAGUGAGUAACACAAUCACAUUUGUACUCUUCAAACUCUUCCUCUGGAAGCCAUGUGAAAAGUGUUGUGGGCCAUUGAGACUUUGGGAGGGGAGACCAGCUCAGGUAUCAAUCCUAAACUAUUUCCCCAUUCCAUUGCAAAGUGAUCUAGGCAUCAUUAUCCUCCUGGUUGCCCGAGUAAGAACCCUAUGAUUGUCUUAGAUUCUUUCCUUUCUCUUUCCUGGUGAGUCCCCUGCUUCUGGUCAGUCUCCAAGUCCAGUUAAUUCUAUUUCCUUAGAGUUGUCAAAUUCUCCCAUUUUUCUCUCCAUUGUCUCUAUCCAGUCAGACCAGCAUCAUCUCUCUAUUAUUAGGCUUCUUGAAAUAGUAUCCCAACUGGCGGCCUUGACUUGCCUUUCAGCCUUACACCCUCUAAUUUUCCAUUCUGUAGUCAGAGUGAUCUUUCUAAAAUCAAUUCUGUUAAAAUUGAAUUUUAAUGAAAUUUGAUGGUUCUCAUCACUUACAGAAUACAAAUCCUCAUCAUGGCCUACAUGGCCCUUCAUGAUCUGGUCACCCUCCACAUCAGCAAUUCCAUUUCUUGCCACUUUCCCCUCCUUCACAGAAUGCCUGGUCACGUGGAACCUCUGGUGCCUUGACCCACAUAUCACCUGUUUCUCCCUGUGCCCACACUUUUCUUUCUUCUUAGAACAUUGCUCUCACCACUUCCCUUUGACUUCCCCAAGGUCCUUUCAUCCCUGAGGCUCAGCUCAGACCUCACUUUCUCCAGGAACUGCUCUUGCCAUCAGCUGGGCAUGUGCCCUGUGUGUUCGGGUACCUCCAGGUACUUCUCCAGUGACAGCACCAUUAUAACCAUAUUUCGUUUACCUUCAUGUGUGUCUGUGUUCCUCUCUGUACUGGAAUCUCCACUGGGUCUCAUAUCCUCUCACCUCCUAUUACAUGUCCUGUCAGCACAGUCCUUGUUUGUACUAAGGGCUGAAGUACUCCUUAUGGAAUGGAUAAAGUGAAAAUAGUGCCUCUCCAUCAGUAUCUUUACCAGCUUCUCUGAACCCACUGGCAGAGUGGUUUGCCUCCUUUAACUUUCCAUGUACCUCUCUGGAUUGUGUCCGCUUUGGUGCUUGCUUUUUGGUGACUGUUUAUAUAAUUUAGUGGCCUUUUCUCAUUUCCAUUAUUCUUAUUUUGAUUGCUUGUCAUUGAAUCCUUGGGGACGCACACUACUUGAUUAUAGUCAAACACUGAUGUAAUAACGAUGAAAGAGAUUUAAACUCAUGAUAGAUAAUAAAAGCUAGAGAACUAGGUUGGCAUAGACCUAUUGAACACAGUGACUAAUACUGACAAGAGACCAGAACUGUCAAAUGAAGAAAAUGGCUUGUGUCAAAUGUUCGAUGAGCUUCAGGUAUUAUUAUCAAAAUCUCUUGCACAAGAAUCUGUAAGAGGGCUCUCCUCUGUCCUCAAAAAGUUCUUUUUUUACUGCUUUCUUUCAGAGGAAACAAUAGGUGAGACUUGGCCCAGUUCACAUUCAAUCCCUUUAAUGUAAUAGCUCCUGUACAGAGGCCCUCAAUGGGUGCUUUCUCCCUAAUAGGCCCUAAACAGGCUCUGCUUUCUCCCUUUCUUUUUCUUUCUUUCUUUCUUUUCUCUCUUUCUCUCUUUCUCUCUUUCUUUCUUUCUUUCUUUCUUUUCUCUUUCUUUCUUUCUCUCUCUCUCUCUCUCUCUCAUUCUCUUUCUUGCUUUCUUUGUAUUAUACAACAUAGAGGUAGAAAUUUAUUGAAGGUUUCUAAGAUGAUCAGGUCAGCAAAAAUGUGUAUUCUGUAGAGAAAAGAUUAGAUACUUUAAACAGUAUUCUUCCAACUACUUGAAUUCUUUAGAGGAAAGACAGUAUGAAAAUUAGAAAAUGUUUUUUCUUUUGCUUUCUAUUUAUAUAGUAUAGAUAUUUGUGCAUAUACAAAGACAGAGUUCAUAUGGAAAGUGAAUUAUGAUUUGAAAUCUCUCGCAGUGUAAUAGGAAAAACAAAAAUCUGACAUUUGAAGAGUUACAUACCUUAAGGAGAAUGUUAAUGGGAGGUAAAUGCUAACUUUAGAAACUGUAUUUCACAGAAUGCAAAGGAAGUAAUUAGGAUACUCCACCACUUAUUUACUAUUCAUAAUUUUAAUUAAGGGCAAAAGAUUAUAUAAAAUUAUUUUGCCUUGUUUUUGUUUGUUUCCCACAAAUGAACAUUCUGUGUUUAACUAAUACUCAGAAAUGCUCAGGAACUGAGGAUGGAGAAGAUACAGUUAGAGUUGGAGAACCAACAAAUGGAAAAGAAACUACAGGAAUUCCAAUCAAUUUGGAGCAGAGAAAAGGAAGAAAGAGGGUAAGUGACAUUUUUAGGGGAUUUGAGAGGAAUAAACUGAGUUGUGUAAGGAAAUGUUUCAUAUAUCCUUGUCAUUUCAACAAAGAUCUGCCUUGAAUGAAUGAUUUCUGGCUUUUCCUGUUGAACAAAUAGUAUUAAAUUUCUCCUACUUUUUCUAUUUGUGUCCUUUAUAGAAGGCAUGCUGCUUUUUAAAAUUACCAUUACUUGUGUUUGUUUUUUUGUUUUUGUUUUUGUUUUGUUGUUUGAAUGUUCUUUGGUCUUACACUUUCUUACUUCUCUUCUUACAUGACUCUUCUGAACCAUUUGUAGCCUGAGAUGUUUAGCACAGCAACACAGCCUUUACUGUCAUAAAAGUGCCAUCCGUAGGAGAUCACCAGUUUAUGUUUAAGGUCAUUUUUAUUUAUGAAAAACUUUUGGGAGGCAGGAGUUUACAUGUUCGUAUAUAAGAAUCAUUCAAACCCUCAAGUAUGUUUAAAAUAUUUUUAGAUGAAUGUGCUUUAGCUGAAAUUUUAUUAAUGAGCACUCUCCAAUAUUGUGCUUUAUAUCUGUGCUCAUCUUACUGAGAAUUGUCCUUUAUUACACAAAUAAUAAAUCUAUAUGACACAAAUCAAACAGAAUUGAUAGUUAUGUAAUGGAAAUGAUAUCUUCUUUGCUCUGGGCUACUCCCAGCCCAUUUGUAGCACUGCUUUUAAUAAUUAAGGUUUUUUGGGGCGCCUGGGUGGCGCAGUCGGUUAAGCGUCCGACUUCAGCCAGGUCACGAUCUCGCGGUCCGUGAGUUCGAGCCCCGCGUCGGGCUCUGGGCUGAUGGCUCAGAGCCUGGAGCCUGUUUCCGAUUCUGUGUCUCCCUCUCUCUCUGCCCCUCCCCCGUUCAUGCUCUGUCUCUCUCUGUCUCAAAAAAUAAAUAAAACGUUAAAAAAAAAAAAAUUUAAAAAAAAUAAUUAAGGUUUUUAUCCCCCCCACAAAUAUCUUAUCUUUGUAUAAGCAUAUAUGUAUAUAUAUGUGUCUGUAUGAAUGUGUGUGUGUGUAUAUCUGACUUGUCAUUUAUGUUUGUACAAGUGAGGUUAUCUAUAAAAUGAUUCAUACUCUAUUUUUUUUUUACUUAAUAUAUCUUAGUGCUGUUGCCACAUCAGUACAAAAGUGAUCUCAUUCUUUUAAUGGCUAUGUAAUAUUUCUUUGCAUAUUUUUGACAUCUUUAUUUAAAUAUUCCCUAUUUUAUAAUUAUAAAUGCUGUCACGAAUAUGCUUCUAUAUAUAUAUUUUGCUUACAUAUGCAAGAGUAUCAAAGGGUUAAAUUCUUACCUGUGUAAUUUUAGGUCAAAGUAUAUAUGCAGUUUAGAUCUUGGUAGAUAUUGGAGAAAUUGUCUUUCAAAUAGGCUUCAAAAAUGUAUAACUUUUUCCUACAGAGAAUGACAGUUCAUGUCUCAUGUGCUUUGGCUGGUACUAAAUAUUGCCAGGCUUUUUGUAUAUUAAAUUUGCUUUGUUUGGUGCUCCAAGGGAUGAUCAUCAAAUAUCUAUGAAAUAUCUUCUGAACCAUUAAAGAAAAUUCAGAAUUUACUAUAUCUCCAGUAGUAUUUAUCUUUAAAGUAUGACUCUUUGGAAAAUACUCAUGACACAUACAUACACUCCCUCUAAUAACCAGAACAUUGAUUUAAUCAAGCAUCUCAAUGUCAUAUGUCAUCCCAGGUGACAAAGUAUAUUGUAUAUUUUGUUGCUGUUAUUAUAAUGAUCUGAUGAGCUUAGUUUGCACUUCUCAAUGGACAAUGAAAUAUCUGUGAAUCAGAGUUCCUGAAAUCAGACUCAAGAGUGUGUUUUCAUUAGCUGGGGAUGUUUUUAAAAAUGUUCUAAAGCUUGAUGGAGUUUUCAUAAGAGUUAAGUGUUUUUCUAAGGCCACAAAGAUAAUAAAUGUUAUAGCCAGAAUGAGAACCUGCCACUCAUUGGUCAGGAAGAUAGAAGUUCAGUAUUCUGACCUUGACUUUAUUAUUUAUUGUCUCUGUGACCUUGGCCAAGUUUUGUCUCAUUAUUUUUUAAGUGAGAAUUGGAUUUCUGCCCUGUUGACUUCAAAAAAUUCUGUGAGACUCAAAAGUGCUUUGAAAGCCAUCAGUAAACAGUUCGCCUUCUUUGCCUUCUCUUUACCUUUCAGUGUGGGAGCUGAUCUGUAGUCUUAAAUACGGGAUUCAUCACUUAGUACAUCUGCUGUUUUCGGUAUUGUUUUGCUUCCUUUUCCUCUUUAUACCUGUGGACCCUUAGCUUUUAAAACUGCAUGGCAAUCUGCAAAAUUUCCUAUAAAUCAGUAAAGGUAUCGUUAGUCAUUGUAAAUGUCUAAAAAAUGAAAUUCUUCAUCUGUGUUUGGACAUUUUACUUUUAUUCAUUUCUUCUCAAAAGUUCCAAAUAUGGUAGAGCUAUAUUUUAGAAUUACCAAGGCUAUCGUGGCAUUAUUGAUAUUUCAUUUUCCUUUUGUGGUGAUCUGUUACAUGUUAAUGACUGAAUUUCAUUUCUUCAAACAGGGAAAAUAUAUUUGUUUUCAUUAAAAGGAGAAAUGUAUUUAGUAAUUACAUUUUGUCCUCUAUUUAUAUAUACUGAAGGUCAAGUGGAUAUCACUGGAAAUCUGGGCAAGUGGGAAAAUUGAGUAAUCAAUCACACAUAAUGUCACAAAGUAAAGGAAAUAUUAUUAAGGUAAGAAAAUACCAUUUGAUUCUCAGGGAAUUUACCAAGUAAAGAGAUAUAAAUUAAUUUUUAGAUCUUGUAUUCCCUUCCAUACUUAAGAACCUACUAAUCUUAUUUUAACAACUUCACAUAUUAUUGGAUUGUGAUUAAUUUUUAUGGGUUAAUAUGUAGCUUUCAUUAUUCAGAUAUAUUUGUUUCUCAUCUACAAGUUGAUUUUAAAAAAUUCAUAUUGAGUAGAAUUUUUCUAAACUGAAUUUUUUUCAUGCAGUUCAGUUUUGGUUUCAAGUAUGUGAAAUACAACUAUGUGGUUUUAUAUUAAAGUGAAAGCUAGGUUAUUUGAUGUAACGAAGGACAGACUUUUUUCCUGCCUUUUUAUUAGAUCACAUUUGUUUCAUGUGUUUAUGUUCUACUUGAAUAAUAAUUAUUAUUCGUAUAUUGUUGAUUCCAUGUGUGGAGAUACCUGAGGAAAGACUGCCUUCAGGUUUCCCAGCUGUAGAAUUCCUUUUUCUUAACUGUGUGUCGUAAAAUAUAACAUUAGAUUAUAUGUAAGGUUAAAAUCAGAUGAGUGACUUUAUGUAGGGAAAGCUGUUUUGUUUCUGGAUUGUUUAGCACAAGAUCCGUGACUUUUUAAGUUUUAGCUUAUAUACUCCUCUUUAUUUUUUAUAUACCUGUCAUCCAACUUUCUUUGGGCCAGUUGGCAUCUACAAACAUCUUACUUGGUGCUUCUAACGUUUUCGGCUUCAAAAAAGCAUUUUGUUCUUUACUGUCAUUCUCUUACUGAGAUAUGUUUCUUUAAUUUUUGGAUUAAAAGUUUUAUAGUCCACUUCCCAUUUUUCAUUAUCUUUCUGAGAUAGCAUUCCAUGUUUCAGAUAUUAUUGAACUAUAACAUAUUAAAAAUGCUGACUUUGUGAUUAUUGACUUAUUUAUUCAAUAACAUUUGUUAAGUGCCUCCUUUGUCAUAUAGUGCAUUAUCCUUGUUCACAAGGAGAUCCUCAUCCAAUGUGAAAGAUAAUGUGCAUAUGAAAAUAUUUAUAGAUUAAGUCAGUAUGUAAUUUUUGUCAUAACUAUUUAGUAUAUGAACCAUCUGUGCUUGGGAAAAAAUACUUUAGUUCUACAAAUAUUUGAGAGUCUCCUAGAUGUCUUUGUAAGGAAAAAAUGAUGAAUAAAUAAUAAUGCCAGUCCCCACAAAACUAAUAAUUGAGUCAAAAGAUGUGGAAACAUGGGGUUUGGAGAGCUGUAGAAGGUGGGUGUAGAAAGUGAGACUGGGCAGGAGGGAAGGUCUUGAAUACCAGAGUUAGGAGUCUUGACGUUUUCACUGUGGGAAUGGAAUUCCUGGACAGUUUUUGAGCAGGAGGAUAGUUAAGAUUAAGGUAAUGACUUAAGGUGGCUGAUCUUGUUUAAAUAUGGAGUGCAUUUGGAGUUUAUAAAUACAGAGUAUAGAACAAAUGAUAUCAAAACUGUUUUGAUCAUGUCCACAUAAAUCAAGAAUGUAUUUUGAGCAUGGACUUUUCUAUACAUUAACUUUUUAUUUGUUUAUGAAUAGAAUUUAUUUAUAUACGUAAUAGUUUACUAAUAUAUCAUGUGCAUUGUGAGACAAAAUAUAGACAUUAGUUAAGGAUGACAUAAACAUAAAUAGAAAUUCUCUUCUACUUUCUGGAUUUUUCUUGAGUUCCCUCAAGCAUGCAUACAUGCUACUUUGGAGGCCACUACUAUAGAGGCCAAUGGACUAUUUAGAAGACUAUUAAAACAAUCUAAAGGUCAAAUGAGAAGAGUCUGUAUUCGAAUGUAGCAAAAGUAAAAUGAAUAAAACUAUGGAACCAAAAAAGCAAUGAGAAAGAAAAGGAGAAAUUCAAAUGUAUAACUGAUAUUCCAGGUUGGAUUGACUAGGAAGAAGAGUAAAGAAGGAGGUUGGAAAACAGUUUGGGAUUUAGAGAUCCCUCCCUCUCUCCCUCCUUCUUUCUUCCCUCCUUUCUUUCCUUCCUCCAUUCUUUCUUUCUUUCCUUCCUUCUUCUCCUUCUAUUCCCAGCUUUAUUGAGGUAUAAUUAAGAUAAUUUAAAAUGUACAACGUGAUGAUUUGAUGUAUGUAUAUAUUGUGGAAAGAUUUCACCCAUAAGGUUAAUUAACACGUCCAUCACCUCACCUGUUUAAAUCUCUUUUGUUGUUGUUGUUGAGGACAUUUAAGUUCUGCCUAGUAAUUUUGAAGAUUUAGGAUUUUGUUUGAAUUCUCAUGUGUUAGUUGAAGCCAAGGGAGUAAAUGUGCUUCUUAAGAACUUAUAAAAAGGAGAAGAAAGGUAUAAAGGAUAAAGCUUAGAAAGGGCAGGUGGGAAGGAUAAAGCUCAAGGAAUAUGGAGGUAAAAGAGAACUUUAAUAUUUAUUCGCUAUUUUAUACCAGUCAACAGUUUAGCUGCUUUUCCUGUUUUAUCUCAUUAAGUGCUUAUAUCACUCUUAAGAGGCAGUUGUUAUUUUUUCAAUUCCACAGAUGAAGUAAUUUAACAUCAAAGAAGUUAACUUGCUCAAGGUCAAGUGUCAGGGCUAAGAUUUGGAAUGCAGGCUUUCAGGCUGGUUCUAAGUUAAUUUGCCAGCUCUCCAGUAAAGGGAGCCUGAGAAGAGGAAGAAUGGUAGCAGUAGAAUCAAAGUAAUGUGAUUUCAUAAAAAAACAAAGGUAAAGGAGGGUGAUCUUAGAAAGUAUGGAGAUGUCAACAUUGUUCUAUACAUUGUGUGGUGAAUAAAGUUUUGACUGUGAUUUUAGACCAGUGUUUCUCAAAAGGGGACAGCUUUGCCCCCCAGGAGAUGUUUGGCAAUGUCUGGAGACAUUUUUUUAUCACCACCAAGAGAGUUUUUCGCUUGUGGUUUUUGGUUAAUGAUAGGUAGUAGCUACAGGCCAGGGGUGCUGCCAUUCACCUUAUAAUACACUGGGCAGCCCCCCAACAAAGAAUUAUUUGUCCUAAAAUGUCAAUGGUAUCAAGGUCAAGAAAUCCUGUGUUAGUCUAUAUAGAUUAAGAUCCUGACUCAUUUCAUUAGCUCUAUGACUUUAGGCAAGUCACUGAACUUUUCUGAGCUCCUGUUACCAUAUUUGUAAACAUAUAUAACAAUACUUGCUAACUACUUCAUAGAGUUUUAAGCAAUGUUGAAGUUAUAUGUCUGAAACCAAUUGUAACAUUGGCUGAAGAUCACACUAAAAAAUGUUUAUGGAGAAUGAAAAUUAAAAAAAAACCUACUGAUUUGAUAUUUGGGUUAUUAGAUGGAAAAAUACAUUUCAAGCAGUUAAAAAAAGAAAGGUGGGUGAUAAUGAGUAAAGACAAAUGUUGCACUGAGAAUGAGAACAGAGCGCGACCUCUCAAGGAUUUAACAGGAUCAAGGAAAGACUUUAUUACAGAUGACCUUUGAACAACACAGAUUUGAACAGUGCAGGUCCAUUUGUAUGCAGAUUUUUUCAAUAAAUGUAGGUAGAGUACUUAAAUGUAUUUUUUCUACGUUAUGACUUUCUUAAUAACAUUUUCUUUUCUCUAGCUUACUUUAUUAUAAGAACACAGUAUAUAAUACAUAUAGCAUACAAAAUAGAUGCUAAUUGACUGUUUAUGUUACCUGUAAAACUUCCAGUUAACAGUAGGCUAUUAGUAGUUAAGUUUGGGGGGGAUCAAAAAAUCGUGCCCCAACCCCCAUAUUGUUCAAGAGUCAACUGUGUAUUGUUUUUCAGAAUCACAGAGAUGUAGCCAGUUUGUAGUUGAGGGAUGGACUCACUAGUGGAGGAAAGAUUGAAGAUGCAAGAGAGAGAGGUGCCAAUUGCUGGAGGUUAGUCUUUGAAGAGACAGCUCAUUAAGGAGACCUUAACCAAUGGAAAGAGAACACAUUUUAUCUGAUAAAAAAGAUGGAAGAGAAAAUAGGUGGCAGUAAAGGUAAAUUUUUAGAGAUUGCAUUUGACAAGAGGUAAGGCAGGAAGCUGUGGAAAGAUUUUAAUGGGAAGAUCUCAACAUUCUUAGUAAAUUUGAAGGCAAGAUCAUCUGCUCACAAUAAGGAAGGGAAAUGGGGUAAAUGUGAGUCUUUUGGAAUAAAGAAAGUUUGACAUAGGCGCUGUGGGAAUCAUGAUUGAGAUUUAACAUGAAAUGAGUAAGUAGACUGCUGAAGAGCCAUAAGAGCGUGGAUUUGUGGGGGAUCCAGUCAGGAUUAUUUCAUCACAAUGGUUGGUAGAUAUGGGAGGUCUAAGAGGAAGAAGGUAAGGUGAUCAUGGUUAGCACUGAGAAACUCUGAGUUUUGGGCUUUUAAAGGUGUGACCCUUCAGAUUGCUGCUUAGGUUUAAGGUUUGGUCAUAAUGGUCAGGUGGCCGAAGAGGGACUCAGAUGGUCAGAGUAGUCAGCAUAUUGGAGGGUUUUGAACAUCAGGAUGUCAGGUGAACGUGAACAUUGAAGUCUUCACGAUCAUCACCCAGAACUGGGAUGGAGAGAAAUACUGAGCAGAUUGCUGAAGUUACGGUGGAGGAGGAUCCUGGAUGUUGAUAAAGACAAUAAACGAAUGGCGAGGAGCUUCAGUAGAGGCAGCUUUGCUGAAUGGUGAGAUCAGAGCAAUAUUCUGGAAGCAGCACUGAAGAGCAAACAGGGAGAAAAAUUUUCUUCUCUCCUGAUGAGUGAGAGGGAGUAGAAAUGGAAUUAAGUUCCUCUGGAGAGUUCUCUGGAAAAAAGUUGUGUCUGAGAAAAGAUGCGUCCGGUUAACGUGAACUUUUGCAAGAGAUGUUUUUAGGAAGGGUUUAAAACAUAAGACAAAUGGCUAUUUAAUAAGGGCUCUAUGCAAUGGCAGGAUGGAAGGACAAGCAAUAGAAAAUGGCAAUGUUUAAGUAGCUAAUUAGAUUACAAAUGAGAAUAUUUGAUAAGGUGGCUCAUGGGAGGAGCAUGGGACCAGCAUGGCAGAUUAGGACCUUGGUUGUGUUUGGAGGCAUUUGUCAAUGCCAAGGAGGCUGAUGGUGACAGCAUAGCCUGAGUCUGAUGGCCCAGGUGAUAUGUCUGUGUGGUACUGCCACUAAACUGCCCUGUACCCUAAUGGUACCCCUUCAGCAUCUACUGGUGGAGGCAUAAGUGGUGAAUACCGCAUAGACUUCAGUAUAUUGGAUUCCUGAUGUUUUGGAUAUACACGUAUGUGCAUAUACAUAUAUACAUACAUGUAUGUAUGCACGUGUAUAUACAUAUGGAUGUGUGUGUGUUAUGUGUGUAUCUCAGGUCCAGCCCUACUCUAUCCUCAACUCUUUCCCAAACAGAUAAAAAUCAGACUUAGGAGGAAAUUCUACUUGCCUCAAAAUAGCAGCUAUCAGUUUGUUCACUGAAAUAUUUUUAUGCAGUUUGAAUCAUUUGGAGUAAAUAUGGCCAUGUUUACAGAGCAGAAAAAUAUUCAUAAUAAUAAAAACAAAUUAUAAAAUUUCCCUAAUAAUGGAUUCAAUUUGCUUUGGCAUCUCCAUUCUGCCCAGGUAGUCUAUAACCAUAUUGAUCAUGUUGCAAUUCAGACGUACCACUAAGGUAAUAAUAUUGGCCAAUUUUGCUAUGAAAAAUGAGAUUAAAUUAUCUGUAACUUGUAUAACAUUUCCAGUUUAGAAGUAAAAGUGUGAUUCACAUAGAAAUUGAUUAUUUCAAUCCUGUUUUCUUUUCUGCUAUGUUUGGUACAUAGCAUCUGAGCAGCCACUUAAAGAAUGUGAACAAAAAAAUGCCCUUUCGAGGCAAAACCACUAGAUUCACUGAGAAUAAUUAUGCCUGAAUUUUCAAAGAUGACUGCAGUUGGUACAGCCAUCGACAUAGAGGCAGCCGUUGUUCUCGUAUUCUCAUGGACAAAGUGGGCAAUUGAGCAUGCAAAUUGCAAAUUGAAAACUAGGCAUGAAUUGCCAGUGUCUGUAUCAGUGUGCAGCAUCCCUCCAUGCUCGUUUGUGUACUUUGAAUGUUGGUUUUCAACAAGACCAAGGCAAGUACGUACACUUGGUGAGUCUGUUUUAUGUCUUAAAAUCUUAAGAUCCAAGGAUUUUAAGUGACUCUUUGAAACACGUAAAGCGAACCUUAUUUACUCAAUAUUUUGGCUACAUCUUAGGAAAGUCAGGGAUCACAGCAAAUAUAUUGAAGGUUAAAUCUGUGAUGCUUAAACAUGUGGUUCUCUGAAUUAGACAAAUAAGAUAAUAUUGGCUUCUGCAGUUAUGUAAGCAGAGCAGCUCAGUGAGAAUUCAGUUUAGAUUUGGUCUACACAAAUAUUAGACUGUGUAUGUUUCAGAAAAGUACCGAAAUAGAAAAGGCUUACUGAACCUUUACAAUAUUUGAAUAUUAGUGCCUUUCUAAAAUAAUAUUGUGAUGAUAUAUAAGGAUUUUUGUUUAAAACAUAAUAUGGCAUGUUUUAAAAAAUGGUUUGUAUAUUUCCAACAUUGGGAGAGAGAGAGCAUGUGCACACAGAUGCGAGGGAGAGGCAGAGAGAGAGGGAAAAAGAGAAUCCCAAGCAGGAUCCAUGCUAUUAGCACAGAGCCUGAUGCAGGCAUUAAUCCCAUGAACUGUGAGAUCAUGACCUGAGCCAAAACCAAGAGUCAACCGAGUGAGCCACCAAGGCACCCCUUGAAUUUUCUGUUAAUUAAAAGUUCUAUAUAUGCUUUAAUAGUGAUAUUCUAUUAAGAUUGUAUUAUUCUUUCAAAAUGUUUGCUUCACUCAAGAUGCACUAGAAUGUUACGGCUUUCUAAUAUUUCUAAUGAUAGUAACUUAAACUUUCUUUGAAUAAGAGAUCGUAUCCCUGACAAAUAAUAUGUAUUUCAUUAAUUUAGCUUUCUGCUGGAAAAGUGAAAUUAAAAUUACUAAAGGAGCAACUUCAAG
Molecule: long non-coding RNA, 21294 nt
Filed under: Lynx pardinus (Iberian lynx)
Lineage: Eukaryota; Metazoa; Chordata; Mammalia; Carnivora; Felidae
Source: RNAcentral